Molecule: ribosomal RNA, 1311 nt
Filed under: Prorocorypha snowi
Lineage: Eukaryota; Metazoa; Arthropoda; Insecta; Orthoptera; Acrididae
Description: 16S ribosomal RNA
Rfam family: Archaeal large subunit ribosomal RNA (bases 546-1311)
Source: RNAcentral
AAUUUAUUAUAUUAUUUUUUAUAAUUGUUUAUUUAUUUAUUUAAUAAAAAUAAUUUUAGUGAUUUUAGUCUAAGUAUAUUUUAUAGAAUAGAUUUUAAUUAUUAUAGCUUAUUAGUAAUGUAAUUGGAUUAUGAAAUAUACUUCAAAUUUUAUAAAGUAAAUUUUAUUAAUUGUACCUUUUGUAUCAGGGUUUAUUAAAAUGGAAGUAUUUAUUUACUAUUCUCGAUUUGGGUUGAUUUAAAAAUAAAUUUUAGUUAAUGUUUCAUAAUUAUUGAAAAUUUAUUUUUAGAAAUGAAAUGUUAUUCGUUUCCUAAUAUAUCUAGUUUCUUAAGAAAAAAUUUAAUUUUAUGUACCUAAUGUUUUAUUUAAUUUUUAAAUUGUUAAUAUUAGGUAAUUUAUUCUUUAGGGGAUAAGCUCUGAAGUAUAAUAAUCUAUAAUUUUUUAAUUUUAAAUAUAAUAUUAGGCUUUAAACCAGCUAUCUUUAAGAUUACGUUUUAGUUCAUUAUUAUUAUAUUUGAUUUUAUAAUUAUUUCAGGUUUUAUAUUAAGUAGAUGAAUUUAAUUUUUAAAUUUUUGUAAUAAUGAUAAAAUUAGUAUAGUAUUUUAGUUUAUAAUAUUUUUUAAGAUAAUUUAUUAUAAGGAACUAGGCAAAAUUAAUUUCCGCCUGUUUAUCAAAAACAUGUCCUCUUGAUAAUAUUUUGAGGUCUAACCUGCUCACUGAUUAUAAUUAAAGAGCCGCGGUAUUUUGACCGUGCAAAGGUAGCAUAAUCAUUAGUCUUUUAAUUGAAGGCUGGAAUGAAUGGUUUGACGAGAAAUUAACUGUCUCUUAAUAAAUUUUAGAAUUUAACUUUUUAGUCAAAAGGCUAAAAUUUUUCUUUAGGACGAGAAGACCCUAUAGAGCUUUACAUUUUAAUUUUAUAUAAUUUUAUGAUGGUUUUUUUAUAUUAAAUGAAGAUGUUUUGUUGGGGUGACAUGAAGAAUAAAUAAACUCUUCAUUAUAAAAUCAUUGAUUUAUGUUUAUUAUGAUCCAUAAUUUAUGAUUAUAAGAUUAAGUUACCUUAGGGAUAACAGCGUAAUUGUCUUUGAGAGCUCAUAUUGACAAGGCAGAUUGCGACCUCGAUGUUGGAUUAAGAAAAGUUUUGGGUGCAGUAGUCCAAUAAUUAGGUCUGUUCGACCUUUAAAUUCUUACAUGAUCUGAGUUCAGACCGGCGUAAGCCAGGUCGGUUUCUAUCCUAAGAUUUUAGAAUUCAUAUUAGUACGAAAGGACCAUAUGGGUAAAAUAUUUUUUAUUUGAAUGAUUAAAAUUAAUAUU